Molecule: ribosomal RNA, 496 nt
Filed under: uncultured Streptococcus sp.
Lineage: Bacteria; Bacillati; Bacillota; Bacilli; Lactobacillales; Streptococcaceae
Description: bacterial SSU rRNA
Rfam family: Bacterial small subunit ribosomal RNA
Source: RNAcentral
GACGAACGCUGGCGGCGUGCCUAAUACAUGCAAGUAGAACGCUGAAGGAGGAGCUUGCUUCUCUGGAUGAGUUGCGAACGGGUGAGUAACGCGUAGGUAACCUGCCUGGUAGCGGGGGAUAACUAUUGGAAACGAUAGCUAAUACCGCAUAAGAGUAGAUGUUGCAUGACAUUUGCUUAAAAGGUGCAAUUGCACCACUACCAGAUGGACCUGCGUUGUAUUAGCUAGUUGGUGGGGUAACGGCCCACCAAGGCGACGAUACAUAGCCGACCUGAGAGGGUGAUCGGCCACACUGGGACUGAGACACGGCCCAGACUCCUACGGGAGGCAGCAGUAGGGAAUCUUCGGCAAUGGACGGAAGUCUGACCGAGCAACGCCGCGUGAGUGAAGAAGGUUUUCGGAUCGUAAAGCUCUGUUGUAAGAGAAGAACGAGUGUGAGAGUGGAAAGUUCACACUGUGACGGUAUCUUACCAGAAAGGGACGGCUAACUACGUGC